RNAcentral lists this ribosomal RNA (455 nucleotides) under Mustelus asterias (starry smooth-hound). RNAcentral describes it as "partial small subunit ribosomal RNA". The record is from RNAcentral. Lineage: Eukaryota; Metazoa; Chordata; Chondrichthyes; Carcharhiniformes; Triakidae.
UACAAGGUUUGGUCCUGGCCUUAGUGUUAAUUGUAACUAGAAUUAUACAUGCAAGUUUCAGCCCUCCUGUGAGAAUGCCCUAAUUAAUCUAUUAAAUAAUUAGGAGCAGGUAUCAGGCACACGCACGUAGCCCAAGACACCUUGCUAAGCCACACCCCCAAGGGAUUUCAGCAGUAAUAAACAUUAAUUCAUGAGCGAAAGCUUGAAUUAGUUAAAGUCGACAGAGUUGGUUAAUCUCGUGCCAGCCACCGCGGUUAUACGAGUAACUCAUAUUAACACACCCCGGCGUAAAGAGUGGUUUAAGAAUGACCUUUAAAUAACUAAAGUUUAGACCUCAUAAAGCUGUUAUACGCACCCAUGAGUGGAAUAAUCAACAACGAAAGUGACUUUACAUAUUAAGGAGCCUUGAUGCCACGAUAGUUGAGACCCAAACUAGGAUUAGAUACCCUACUAUG